Molecule: ribosomal RNA, 1194 nt
Filed under: Citrobacter freundii
Lineage: Bacteria; Pseudomonadati; Pseudomonadota; Gammaproteobacteria; Enterobacterales; Enterobacteriaceae
Description: partial 23S ribosomal RNA
Rfam family: Bacterial large subunit ribosomal RNA
Source: RNAcentral
GUUAAGCGACUAAGCGUACACGGUGGAUGCCCUGGCAGUCAGAGGCGAUGAAGGACGUGCUAAUCUGCGAUAAGCGUCGGUAAGGUGAUAUGAACCGUUAUAACCGGCGAUUUCCGAAUGGGGAAACCCAGUGUGUUUCGACACACUAUCAUUACGUGAAUACAUAGCGUAAUGAAGCGAACCGGGGGAACUGAAACAUCUAAGUACCCCGAGGAAAAGAAAUCAACCGAGAUUCCCCCAGUAGCGGCGAGCGAACGGGGAGCAGCCCAGAGUCUGAAUCAGCUUGUGUGUUAGUGGAACGGUCUGGAAAGUCCGACGGUACAGGGUGAUAGUCCCGUACACCAAAAUGCACAGGUUGUGAACUCGAAGAGUAGGGCGGGACACGUGGUAUCCUGUCUGAAUAUGGGGGGACCAUCCUCCAAGGCUAAAUACUCCUGACUGACCGAUAGUGAACCAGUACCGUGAGGGAAAGGCGAAAAGAACCCCGGCGAGGGGAGUGAAAAAGAACCUGAAACCGUGUACGUACAAGCAGUGGGAGCCUCUUUAUGGGGUGACUGCGUACCUUUUGUAUAAUGGGUCAGCGACUUAUAUUCUGUAGCAAGGUUAACCGUAUAGGGGAGCCGAAGGGAAACCGAGUCUUAACUGGGCGUUAAGUUGCAGGGUAUAGACCCGAAACCCGGUGAUCUAGCCAUGGGCAGGUUGAAGGUUGGGUAACACUAACUGGAGGACCGAACCGACUAAUGUUGAAAAAUUAGCGGAUGACUUGUGGCUGGGGGUGAAAGGCCAAUCAAACCGGGAGAUAGCUGGUUCUCCCCGAAAGCUAUUUAGGUAGCGCCUCGUGAAUUCAUCUUCGGGGGUAGAGCACUGUUUCGGCUAGGGGGUCAUCCCGACUUACCAACCCGAUGCAAACUGCGAAUACCGAAGAAUGUUAUCACGGGAGACACACGGCGGGUGCUAACGUCCGUCGUGAAGAGGGAAACAACCCAGACCGCCAGCUAAGGUCCCAAAGUCAUGGUUAAGUGGGAAACGAUGUGGGAAGGCACAGACAGCCAGGAUGUUGGCUUAGAAGCAGCCAUCAUUUAAAGAAAGCGUAAUAGCUCACUGGUCGAGUCGGCCUGCGCGGAAGAUGUAACGGGGCUAAACCAUGCACCGAAGCUGCGGCAGCGACACUAUGUGUUGUUGGGUAGGGGAGCG